This 5064-nucleotide long non-coding RNA is filed under the name Chlamydomonas reinhardtii. RNAcentral describes it as "long non-coding RNA (CREI_LNC001094)". Lineage: Eukaryota; Viridiplantae; Chlorophyta; Chlorophyceae; Chlamydomonadales; Chlamydomonadaceae. The record is from RNAcentral.
CCAGUAAGUCCGUGUCGGAUGGACCUUGUUGCGCACGCAGGCAUCGCAAACCCCCCCGGCACCAGCCCGCGGUUCGCGCGCAUCCUUACAGCCCGGUUUAGCGGCCGCGACGCGUGUCUAGCAUAUGGGGUGCAUCCGCCGUAGCUGCGUCGUUUGGGCUUCAAAUGUUCCAGCUAGCCGUAGGGUUGUCCAUACGACGGGCCUGCGUUGGAAGCAGCCGUCAUAUCCGACUGUCCCAGCAACCGUGGCGCGGGAGCUGUCCCUGUCAUGUGACUGAAGCACGCGAACGCCGUGGAGCACGACAUGAGAUAUCGGCGAUGCCACCAAUUAGCCCAGCCGUGAGCCCCAAGCAAGAGAGCCGAGUCUGAGCCUGCCCGAGCCUGGGGCACCCCAAGUGACGGCAGUCACGCCGAGCAUGAGGCAUUCCGAGAGGAGUACGGUACCAGUUAACAAGAGCGUGCGAGCAUCAGGCGUGAGAGCCGCAGAGUCCGGGCUGAGGGGCACGAGGCCAAGCGCUCGAGGCCUCGCGAUCAAGCACAAGCACAUGUCCCCAAGCACGCGCGGUCCGAGCAUGUGGCAAGCAAGCAUCCUCCGAGCGCGAGACGUUGACUGGUCGGGCCGAGGCGCGGUGUCGCAUGGACAAGCCCCCGAGUUUAUUAACACGAGGGCCGAGAGCCGAGAAGUGAUGUAGCUCUUCACUCACGGGUAUGCCCGCCGGCGACCCCCGAACUAGGUGUUAGUGAGUUUGCAUGUGUAAAGCUAGCGCGGUGCUGGUGUAAGAGAUGUUCUGGCAGGGUGUGUAGCGAGCAUGCGCCAGUAUGUGUCACGGGGGCAAGCAGGGGCACGUGUGGCCUUGCUGCCUUCCCUGCUGGAGUGCGCGCUGUCGCACGAAUUGGUGCGGCAGAGAUGGAAUCAAAUGCUCGUUGAGAGCACUACACACCAUGUGCAUCGCUAUAGGUGCGUGGAACGCUGCUAACGACUGCGUUUUGGCUCCCCACUGCCCUUGCAUUCGUCGCAACCGCCAGGCGCCCUCGUGGAUUCGGCUUCAUUGAGUUCAAGGUGGGGCGGGCAUUGACAGGCCGGCCACGAAAGGCAGCUGCGUGUGCAUGUGCACCUUUCUGCUAGAGGAUUUGUGGGAUGAUCACUGGACCCGAUGGCAGGUCCAUGCCGCUUUCCCUCGCCUGUUAUCUUCAUUCUGCAUCCGUCAACAAGUUGCUAUGCCAUCACAUAACUGUGCGAAUGCCGACUCGCAGGAGACGCGCGACGCCGAGGACGCCAUGUACAACCUGGACCGCUCCGUGGUGAACGGGCGCGAGAUCUCGGUGAGGCCGGCACAGGGGCUUAAACGGGUUGGGCGGGCGUUUACUGGCACCACCCAGGGUGCAGACAGUCGAGCUGAGGGCACUUCAUGGCAACGGGGAAUCGGCGUCGGAGGUGUUCUGCUGGGCAAGACAGGCACGGCCAUGGCGGUGUGCGGGUGUACCGCAAGGCUGGCAUUGCCAGGGCCCAUUCAUAACCGGUCGCCUGGUGACAUGCUUAUGCCGCAGGUGACGUUCUCGCGUGAGGGCCGCAAAACCCCCCGCGACAUGAUGCGCAUCGAGUCCAAGACCAAGGGCGGUGAGUUGCGGGGAGUGAGUGAGAGCGCUGUGGACCAGACAGGCAGACGGGGAACACGGUGCAUUGACGUCAAAUCUGGAUUUAAGAAUGCAGAUUUAUAGAAUGUUAAUGGCUCACACUCAGUGUGUUCAACACGACAUGGAACGGUUUGUCUCGCAGACGAGCGCCGCGACGACCGCCGCCGGAGCCGCAGCCGCUCGCCGCGCCGCAGCAGCCGGCGCAGCAGCCGGUCACCUCGACGCAGCCGCUCCCGGUCCCCCCGCCGCAGCCGCAGCCCGCGCGCUGACCGCGGCCGCGACCGGAGCCCCCGCGACCGCAGCCCCCGUGACCGCAGCCCCCGCGAUCGGAGUCCGCGCGACCGCAGCCCGCGGGAGCGGAGCCCGGUGCGUGUUGAGCGUGAGCGCAGCCCCGAGCGCGAGCGCAGCCCGGAGCGGGAGCGCGUCCGCGAGGACAGCCGCAGCCCGCCUCCCCGGGAGCGGAGCCCGCCGCCGCGUGACCGCAGCCCGCCCCCGCGGGAGCGGAGCCCGUCUCCUCGCAGGUGCGGCCCUUGGCGUGGGUUUAGCUGCUGCGCACUCCGUGGCCUGCUGGCGCAUCAAUGCGUCGCUUGCAGGGUGCUGGGUGGCGCCAAUGGUUGCAUGCACCCAUGGCUUACCCCAUGCUGUGCCCCAUCUCUCACAGGGACUCGCCCCCGCGCGAUGACUACGCUGGUGAUGACUUCUGAGGAGCAGCGCGUGCUGGCAGCGCUGUUGAAACAGGGCUUGGCGGGGAUCUGUGGGGUCGGAAUGACCCACAAUACAAACUUGUGUGUGUGCAUGAUUAUUCUGCGCGCAAGGUACGGCGAAGCGCCUCACUGUCUUCGGGCGGCCUGACAUUCGGAUGCAAUCGUCGUUCACAUUUACAAUACGGAAUGCAGCCGUGAGGCUGCUGAAUGGGCGCGCUGUAGGGUGGUGGCACAGGAGUUGACGGGCGCGAUUGAGGUGGGCGUUGACGUGAAGGUCGGCCCACUGGAUUGGGUGUUGACAGGCCAUGACGUGAUGAAGUGGCUGUCGGUGACUGCGCACAACAAAGCCUGCAAAGGGCAUCCCGGUUACCAACACUCAAUGCCGCUGGCACUAUUCGUCCAUGUACCGUGCGUUGGAUAGGACAUGGCUGGCGUCCGUGACCGGAAAGCUGCUUGCACUGGAGGCACUGCAGUGCUGCUGUCAAGUAGGUGACCCCCAUGACUUGGGUGCUUCGGAGAAAGGCGAGCACUGACACGAGGCCUGGCGGCUGGCGCGCAGCGCGGCACGGUGUAAUGACACGGAUUUUGCAAUGUGGUUGGCCUGCUUUGAUGGGCCGUGCCUACCAGCAGCGCAUCACACCACCAGACUGCACAUGCCCCUGCCCCUGAAGUCCAACCCAGCGUGCCGACCCAUUCCACAGCAUUCAGCGCACUAUGAUUUAUGACGAGUGGUGACCCACCUACCCUAGCUCAGACGUGUGUGUGCGCGUGUCCCCUCUCCGCGCUCCCGUGCCGCAGGGCUGCUGGUUUUAAGACGCCGCCUCCUGUCUUGCCACCGGGGAGCUCUUCGUGAGCCCGGGCCCCAUCCAGCCACGUACCCAAGUACCCACCUACGUACCAGCCCCAGCGCUGCCAGCCUCUGCAGCCACCCAGCGUCCCAUGCCAGCUGUCCCGUGCCUCUCCCCAGCUGUCCCGUGCCUCUCCCCAGCUGUCCCACCCCAGCAGUCCCACAUCCGCUGUCCCCUCCCAGCUGUCCCUUCCAGUAGUCCCUUCCAGUUGUCCCUUCCAGCUGUCCCACACCAGCUGUCCCACCCCAGCUGUCCCACCCCUACGGGACUACGCUUUCCUGCCCCUUGCCAUGUUCCAUCACGAGCUCAGACACGCACGUCAGGCCCGCGCUUCCUCACACUCCGGUUGUGUUUGUCUCGCACUCGCAUUCGAUUCGCCCGCCACUCAUCCGUACAUUCGGGCUCCAUUGUCUGCCUUGCCGCGCCCUGUUUUCGCCCCUGCUUGUCAUACUGUCGCCCGGCCAUUGCUUUGCUGCAUACUGUUGCAUUUUCUCUAUGUUGCAUUUGGUGCUCAUCCGUGGACGCUGGUCAUCUUCCUGCAGGUGCGGUGCGGCUCUGCAUCGCGAGCGAGUGUGGCGUUGUGGUGUGUCUGUGUGGUGCUAUCGCCUGGCCGGGCGCCCGGAGCGUGAGGAAUGCGCAUCAGCAAACUUCCAGCCAGCCAGCAACUUGUCGGUACAGUAACUCCGGCGUUCGACCAGCCAUGCACUCCUGCUCUGCCGCUGCAAACUGUUUGCUGUCUGCUUGGGGUACGGGCGUCAGCUGCACCCUAUGGGACCUCGCCAACCUGCCUGAACCCUGUCCCAUCACACACGCACGUCAGGCCCUCCAGCUGAGCUGCGUGCUCCCACUCGGUACGUAAAACACCAGGUCAAAUGGCGACGACUCCUGCCCAGCCACGCUCGGGCUCGGGCGCAAGCACUUUCCACACGGCCAUUGCGCUCCUACGCCAUACUUCAUUGCUUGAUUAUUACGCCCCCGACAAGACUUCCCACCACACCUCCCUUGUACGCCACAGGUGAUAGGUGAUAGCGUUUACCAACACACUUGUGCGGCCGUUCUGUUAGCUUGGGGCAUACCUACUGCGUCUGCAUAAUUGACACAGCGCUUGAGCCUUCAAAAAGGAUCGAUGCGUCAGGCACCGUCGCGCCUCACCGCUAAAAGCACGCCUGCGCGCCGCCUGGGCUGUGCCUCUGCUCCCGGCCGCCCACCCCUGCGGCCGCCCGUACGCAUUCUCAAACCCCACGCCACCUUCCCCCGCAGGCCCGCUCAGAUCUUCCCCGCCGCCUUAUCACGCUCCUCCUGCCGCUGAAUCUCCUGUAGUGUCAUGGCAGGCGGAGUGCAAGUCAGAGUUUUGACGUGCCAUGCCGCGGAGGACCGCAAAUAUCUAUUAUUCAGCCCCACGCGCCGUUGAGCAUGGUCGCCUUCGUCACAAGAAUCAUACGAAUUUAAUGCUUGCAGACACACGGGCGACAGCAGAGUUAGUACACGCGGUGGUGAUUGUGCGCGCUGUCGCACGCGUCGCAACUCCCCGCGCACCUCCUGAAUCUGCUCAUAAAUGUUAGGGCGCCGCCAGAUGACCCAGCUAUAGGUAGCAACGGGAAUGGAGCAGACCGCGAGGAACGUCGCCCAGCGAGGAAGCAUUUUCUCCUCCUCUUGGUCCUUAAGCUGGUAUAAUAUAUGCUCCAAAACGGAAGAAGAAGUUGCCAAAUAGCGAAAGUGAAGCGAGUUUGGGCUCGAGGGUUUGCGAGCUCAGCUUGUUUGCUGUGUCAAUGAGGAUUUCUUGGAAAGCUCUUUUUGUCGAGUGCAAAACACCAAGAGUACAAGCGUGUGCGACGGGCGUCAACUCCUGCCUAGGGAUGCCCUCGGGUUUGCCGAUGG